GAUGAACGCUGGCGGCGUGCCUAAUACAUGCAAGUCGAGCGAACAGACGAGGAGCUUGCUCCUCUGACGUUAGCGGCGGACGGGUGAGUAACACGUGGAUAACCUACCUAUAAGACUGGGAUAACUUCGGGAAACCGGAGCUAAUACCGGAUAAUAUAUUGAACCGCAUGGUUCAAUAGUGAAAGACGGUUUUGCUGUCACUUACAGAUGGAUCCGCGCCGCAUUAGCUAGUUGGUAAGGUAACGGCUUACCAAGGCAACGAUGCGUAGCCGACCUGAGAGGGUGAUCGGCCACACUGGAACUGAGACACGGUCCAGACUCCUACGGGAGGCAGCAGUAGGGAAUCUUCCGCAAUGGGCGAAAGCCUGACGGAGCAACGCCGCGUGAGUGAUGAAGGUCUUCGGAUCGUAAAACUCUGCUAUUAGGGAAGAACAAAUGUGUAAGUAACUAUGCACGUCUUGACGGUACCUAAUCAGAAAGCCACGGCUAACUACGUG
This 497-nucleotide ribosomal RNA is filed under the name uncultured bacterium. Its description in RNAcentral is "partial 16S ribosomal RNA". It matches the Rfam family "Bacterial small subunit ribosomal RNA", at positions 28 to 507 of the family's 1533-position model. The record is from RNAcentral.